AUUGAACGCUGGCGGAAUGCUUUACACAUGCAAGUCGAGCGGCAGCGCGGGGCCACCUGGCGGCGAGCGGCGAACGGGUGAGUAAUACAUCGGAACGUACCCAGUUGUGGGGGAUAGCCCGGCGAAAGCCGGAUUAAUACCGCAUACGACCUGAGGGCGAAAGGGGGGGAUCGCAAGACCUCUUGCAGUUGGAGCGGCCGAUGGCGGAUUAGCUAGUUGGUGGGGUAAAGGCCUACCAAGGCGACGAUCCGUAGCGGGUCUGAGAGGACGACCCGCCACACUGGAACUGAGACACGGUCCAGACUCCUACGGGAGGCAGCAGUGGGGAAUUUUGGACAAUGGGGGAAACCCUGAUCCAGCCAUUCCGCGUGAGUGAAGAAGGCCUUCGGGUUGUAAAGCUCUUUCGGCAGGAACGAAGCGGUGGCCCCUAAUACGGGUUGCUAAUGACGGUACCUGAAGAAGAAGCACCGGCUAACUACGUGCCAGCAGCCGCGGUAA
Molecule: ribosomal RNA, 498 nt
Filed under: uncultured bacterium
Lineage: Bacteria
Description: partial 16S ribosomal RNA
Rfam family: Bacterial small subunit ribosomal RNA
Source: RNAcentral